Molecule: ribosomal RNA, 520 nt
Filed under: uncultured bacterium
Lineage: Bacteria
Description: partial 16S ribosomal RNA
Rfam family: Bacterial small subunit ribosomal RNA
Source: RNAcentral
GACGAACGCUGGCGGCGUGCCUAAUACAUGCAAGUCGAACGCACUCACGAUUAGAUUGCAGGUGUUUGCUUCGCGUUGAUAAACAUUUGAGUGAGUGGCUAACGGGUGUGUAACACGUGGGUAACUUGCCCUAACGUGGGGGAUAACAUUUGGAAACAGAUGCUCAUACCGCAUAAAACCUAACACCGCAUGGUGUAGGGUUGAUAGAUGGUUUCGGCUCUCACUUUAGGAUGGACCCGCGCUGCAUUAGUUAGUUGGUGAGGUAAAGGCUCACCAAGGCCAUGAUGCAUAGCCGACCUGAGAGGGUAAUCGGCCACACUGGAACUGAGACACGGCCCAGACUCCUACGGGAGGCAGCAGUAGGGAAUCUUCCACAAUGGGCGAAAGUCUGAUGGAGCAACGCCGCGUGAGUGAAGAAGGUUUUCGGAUCGUAAAACUCUGUUGUUGGGGAAGAACGUAUCUGAAAGUAACUGUUCAGGUAGUGACGGUAUCCAACCAGAAAGCCACGGCUAACUACGUG